RNAcentral lists this ribosomal RNA (443 nucleotides) under uncultured bacterium. RNAcentral describes it as "bacterial SSU rRNA". It matches the Rfam family "Bacterial small subunit ribosomal RNA", at positions 958 to 1399 of the family's 1533-position model. The record is from RNAcentral.
AACGCGAAGAACCUUACCUACUUUUGAAUCCUAAGAAUUUUGCAGAAAUGUAGAAGUGCCGCAAGGAACUUAGAGACAGGUGCUGCAUGGCUGUCGUCAGCUCGUGUCGUGAGAUGUUGGGUUAAGUCCCGUAACGAGCGCAACCCUAAUUCUUAGUUACCAACAGGUAAAGCUGGGGACUCUAAGGAGACUGCCGGUGAAUAAACCGGAGGAAGGUUAGGACGACGUCAAGUCAUCAUCGGCCCUUACGAGUAGGGCUACACACGUGCUACAAUGGGCACUACAGAGGGAAGCGAAGCGGCGACGUUGAGCGAACCCCCGAAAGGUGCUCGUAGUCCGGAUUGGAGUCUGCAACUCGACUCCAUGAAGCUGGAAUCGCUAGUAAUCGUGAAUCAGCACGUCACGGUGAAUACGUUCCCGGGCCUUGUACACACCGACUGUAC